This is a non-coding RNA of Escherichia coli str. K-12 substr. MG1655, 222 nucleotides long. The record is from Rfam. NCBI's taxonomy places the organism in Bacteria, Pseudomonadati, Pseudomonadota, Gammaproteobacteria, Enterobacterales, Enterobacteriaceae.
UAUAGGCGUUAUACUUUACAGCAACAGUACGCCGCUAACGCAAUUGCUACCUCUGGCAUAACAAGUAUAUCGGGUAAGGGUUUCUGUUCCGCACACGCAGACGCAGAGUAUCGUUAAGAUGUCCAUAUUGUUGUUUUAGGCCCGCUAGUAAUGCGCUACGGGUAUUUAAUAUUGUUAAACCCUGAUAAUCGCUCCGGUUAUUUCCGGGAUAAAUGUACUACC